Molecule: ribosomal RNA, 468 nt
Filed under: uncultured bacterium
Lineage: Bacteria
Description: partial 16S ribosomal RNA
Rfam family: Bacterial small subunit ribosomal RNA (bases 20-328)
Source: RNAcentral
GACGAACGCUGGCGGCGUGCUUAACACAUGCAAGUCGAACGGAAAGGCCCUGCUUUUGUGGGGUGCUCGAGUGGCGAACGGGUGAGUAACACGUGAGUAACCUGCCCUUGACUUUGGGAUAACUUCAGGAAACUGGGGCUAAUACCGGAUAGGAGCUCCUGCUGCAUGGUGGGGGUUGGAAAGUUUCGGCGGUUGGGGAUGGACUCGCGGCUUAUCAGCUUGUUGGUGGGGUAGUGGCUUACCAAGGCUUUGACGGGUAGCCGGCCUGAGAGGGUGACCGGCAGCAUGGGGCCUGGGAGAACGCGCGGCGGCCGGCGGGAGCGGCGAGGGGGGGAGGUGGCGGACUGGCCGGAGGUCGUCCGCCGCAACCCGGCGUGGGGAGGGAGGGCUGGCGGGGGGGAAUAAGAAGGCGCCGGGGACGGAGCGGGAGGCAGGGGGAGGGGUAAACGAGCACCCGCUAACCACCUG